GCAGAUUCUCGAAAAAACUCCACCACUCACCAAAAUACCAAGCUUGGAGUGCCAAAUCAGAGACGUAGCAAAUGAAGCAGAAGACAUCGUUGAAUCUCACAUGGUUGAACGACUGCUCUCGAUGCCUGAAGGCGUGAACUUCACUCCGCUGAUCGAACAAGUCGUGAAGCUCGUGGAGGUGGAGACAAACAAGAAGCCGACUGGAGUCAGUGAGUGGUGCUUCUUUCUCGAGCGUGGAGGUGGAGACAAACAAGAAGCCAACUGGCAGCUCAUGGAGUGGUGCUUCUUUCUCGAGUUCGAAGAGCGUCGUGGUGGGAGUCGAUGAAGAUCUGAUGCAGCUGAAGGAUCGGCUGACCGGGAAUCAGACCAAGCUGGAGAUCCUGCCCAUCGUGGGUAUGGGUGGUAUAGGUAAAACCACUCUUGCUCGAACACUUUAUCAAGAUCCACUCAUUCUUCACCACUUUAGCUAUCUUGCUUGGACCACAAUCUCACAAGAUUACAAUAUGCGGUCAAUUCUAUUAAGCCUUAUUCGUUGCAUAAUUGGAAAAGAAGAAUGUGACCAACAUAAGGAAAAGGGAGAAGCGAGUUAAAAGAUAUUUUAUAUCAGAGCUUGUACGGUAGAAUAUACAUAGUUGUAUUAGAUGAUAUUUGGAGCACCGCAUUCUGGGAUGAGAUAAGGAGGUACUUCCCCGACAACAAUAACGGGAGUCGGAUUGUGAUCACCACUAGGGAAUCGGAUGUCGCCAAAUAUGCAGACUUGGAGAUUCAGCACCAUCAUCAGGUGCAGUUGCUGAGCGAGUCUCAAAGUUGGGAUCUUCUUAGCCAAAUUGUGUUUGGAAAAGAGGAUUGCCCUGAUGAGUUACAAGGGAUAGGGAAGAAGAUUGCGAGUGAUUGCGGUGGGCUUCCUCUGGCUAUCAAUGUGAUUGGAGGGCUGUUGUCUAAGGUGGAAAGGUUAAAAGAUGCUUGGGAGAAUAUUGGGAACGAUGUAAGAGCUGCAAUUGCUGAAUCAGACAAGCAGUUCUCCAAUAUACUAUCCUUAAGUUAUAACCAUCUGCCGAUUCACUUGAAACCAUGUUUCCUAUAUAUGGCAGCAUUCCCUGAAGAUUAUGAGAUCGACCUGUUGAGACUCGUAAGGAUGUGGGUAGCAGAAGGAUUUGUGAAAUCGAAUGGAGAAAAAAGUUUGGAGGAAGAGGCAGAGGAUUAUUUAAAGUCACUUGUAGAAAGGAAUCUAGUUUCGGUUAUUACAAGUUAUAGUUGGUAUGUAAAAGCAAAGAGGUACAGCAUGCAUGAUCUUUUGAGAGAUUUAUGCAUUAGGAAAGCUGAUGAUGAGAAGUUUCUACAUGUCAAGAAUUCCACAUUCUCUAACCAGCUGCGUCGUGUGAGUAUUCACACAUCAUAUGGAAUGAAAGAUGAUGAGUAUGCUUCUUCAUCAGAGAUGUCACUUGUUCGAUCAUUUCUAGUAUUUGUCAAGUUGGAUAGGAAUGUAUCUCCCAUGGUUUCCACAUUAAGAUUGCUUAGGGUGUUGGAUUUAUUGGAAAUGCGUAAGAUUGAGUUCACAGAAGAAAUAUUACAACUUGUGAACUUACGCUACUUAGCUAUCAAUUGCAAGUCAUUGCCAAGAAGUGGAAUAUCAAGAUUGUGUAAUUUGCAAACCUUGAUUGCCGAGGUAUCCAACAAAAUUUUGGAGAUCUUUAUUUUUCCCAUGUCCUGUAGCUAUUUCCCAGCUGAGUUGUGGGAAAUGUCUGAGUUAAGACAUCUCAUCAUAUUGAAUACAUAUCUCGAGAUGGAAGAUGAUUACAUGAAAAAAAUUGUUCUGAAGAAGCUGCAGACGAUACGGGGUGUGGAGCUAAGUCCGUCAGUGAUUAGAAGGGGUUUCUUGGAAAGCAUUCCAAAUAUAAAAAGCUUGGAAAUCCGGUAUUGUGAGGAUGAAGGCUCAUCAGGGAUGAGUGAAGUAGUUGAUCUGAGUCAUCUUCACAAACUCCAAACAUUAAGCUGGAGUUCAUUAGGGGAUCAAUAUCUGCACGUACCCAAAUUUCCAUCUACUCUUAGAGAAUUAAAUCUGGAGAAUUGUGUAAUAACUCCGGCAGCGACGACGGUCCUGUGUGCACUACCGGAUCUGGAAGUGCUCAAGAUAGAGGAAUGUACCUUCGAAAGCAAUGAGACAGAAGAAGAAGAAGCAAAUGAAGAGUGGGAAAUAACAGAAGGAGAUGAAUUCAGCUCAUUGCAGUUUCUACAACUCGAAUGUCGUAGACUGGUGCGUUGGAGAGCUGAUGAAACCAACUUCCCUAGACUCCGCCAUCUCUUUUUACGAAGUUGUUGGGAGCUAGAGGAAAUCCCCGCAGGCAUUGGAGAAAUCCCAACCCUCCAAUUAAUCGAAAUGGUAUAUUGCAGGGAUUCUGCAGUGGCCUCAGCGAAACAGAUUCAGGAGGAGCAGCAAUCUGAAUAUGAGAACUACCAACUCCAACUUUGUAUCUCAUAUGAUGAUUAGGUCAGUAUUAUUAUCACUUUCUGCCUAUCCAAAAAAUAAAUAACCAAAAGUAUUUAGUAACCAAAAACCACUCCCAAUAUCUUUUUAGCAAAAACAGUAUUAUGAUUUUUUGAUGCUUUGUACUUGUAAUUGAUGGAUCAUAUUUUCUUUUGGUAAAUUAGGAGGAGGCGCACAAAGAAGUUGAAGAAUGAACGCUGAUGGGUGAUGAAUUUUGAUGUUUUAGGUGGAUCAAGAUAGGAUGGAUCAUACUAAUUUUUAUUUAUAUAAAUUGCAUACAUAUAUUAAUUAUAGCUUUUUGCGAGUCUUUAUAAGUUUUUCUUUUGUGUGUGUGUGUGUGACAGAUUAACAUAAUUCGAGUUUUUUAAGUUACUGCUGUUGAGAAAGACUUAACUUAGUGAAGAAAAUGGAUUAUUAAUAGGUAUUACGACUAGGAAAAUCAAAAAUUAAAAGAGAAAAUUAAGGCAGCCAUGAAAAGAAAGUUAUAGACUGGUGCGUUGGAGAGCUGAUGAAACAAACUUCCCUAGACUUCAGCAUCUCAUUAUACGGAAAUGUCCUAAUCUAGAGGAAAUCCCCGUCGGCAUUGGAGAAAUCCCAACCCUCCAAUCAAUCCACGUAGAAUGGUGCAGCAAUUCAGCAGAGGCCCCAGCGAAACAGAUUCAGGAGGAGCAGCAAUCUGAAUACGAGAACUACGACCUCCAACUUCGUAUCAUCCCAUCAUAUAUGAUUUGGUCAGUCUUAUUAUCACUCUAAUCAUGUUGUUGGGUUUCAUUAAACUGACGAAUUUCUUGUGCCGCAUAUCUACAGAGCACAGAAAGAGGAAGAGAAAAGAAAGGAAGAUCGAUGAAGACGACUCAAAGUGGCCAUAUUUGAAACUCAUUUGAUUUCUCCUCUCUUCUUGUCUUACCAUUACCAUUGCUUCACAAUUUGCUUUGUUUUUCACUUAUGAUGCUUUUCUUACUGCCUUUUUUUCCCCUCUUUUGUUUGGUGCUUAGUUUUAGAAGAGCAACUCCUUUUCCCUUUUAGUGUUUUUCACUGGCUUUUUUGUCUUUAAUUGGAUUUUUUGUUAAUAUGAUGUUAUAAUUUCAUUGAUAUAUAUUGGAGUUUCGGAUGAAUUAUGAUCUUUAAACAUUUUUAGUUCUAGUACUCACCGAGAUAAAGUUGGCAUGCAUGAUAUCAAGCUUCUUGAACAUAAAUAUAUUAGUAUGUGUGUUGAUCUAACAGUAGAGCAGGUAAUACAAAAAGUCAAAAGAGGUUUUGAGUUCAUAAUUUUUAAAUUUACUUAUUUAAUUGGUAAUUGUUUAUCAAAAUAUAUUUAUAUAUAAUAUUGGUUAUAGGGAUAAUAACAUUUAAAUAAAUGCACGCACAAUGCUCGGAAAACACACACACACAUAUAUAAUAUUAGUCUGUGUUAAUUUAAUGGUAGAGUGGUUAAUACUCAAAGUUAAAAGAAAUUUUGAGUUCGAGUUCAUCGUGACAUAAUCUUUGACUUUAUUAUUUAUUUAAUUAUUAAUUUAUCAAAAUAUAUUUAUAUGUAAUAUUGAUUAUAGGGAUACUAAAGCUUAAAUAAAUGCACAAAGUUCCACAUAUAAUCAAAUAAAUGCACAAACUUGUCAACAAAGAUUAAUGCAUCACAUGAAUAAAGUAUCUAGCUCACUAGAGAAUAUUCUCUCUCUCUCUCUCUUUUACUAUUUUUAUCUUUUGCUUUUAUUAUAUAACUAGCGUCUAACUCGUCGAAAUUCGAUGAGAAUUAUUUUAUGUUAUCAUUUAUAAUUAUUUUAUGUUAUUUUUAUUAUUAUAGUAUAUAAAAUAGUUUAUAUAUAAAUUAUUUCUUUAAUUAAUUUGAUAUGAUAAAAUUAAAUUAGUAGUACAAUAUUUGAAAUAAUAUUAAUGUUAAUCACUUUCGCCAAUUAAAUGUAGGUUGUGAUAAUAGAAAUACAUUUUUAUAUAAAUAUUUAUUUGAUGAAGUUUAUAAAAAGUUGAUGUGGGAUUGAAUAUUUUAGAAGAAAAAAAUAUGUAAAUUUGAAGAUUGAAGAAAUAAAAUACAAAUAUAAAUCCUUUUUUAGAUAUGGAAAUUGAUUAAAAAUUCAGAAAAAAAUAAGAAUGAAUGAAAAUUGAGGAAAAUUAAAAUAGAGUGAUUAUACGGCGUCACACAAGAUAUGAUUUAUUCUGCUAUUAUAUAUAUAUUUUGAGAAUGAAGAAUUAAUCUAAGCCCUUAGAUUAAUUGAUAUUAACGAUCCAGAUCAUUUCGUUCAUUUAAGAUCUGAUUUAUAUGUUAAGGUUAUUUAAGUAAUUGUAUUUUUUUAAUGUAACCGUUUCUUAUUGCUAUUUUAGUUGACCGUAUCCCAUAUUUUUUUGAAUUGAUUUAUGAAGAUAUCAAUCAUUUACAUUUUAUUCUUUUUUUCUUAAAUUAGUUUUAUUAGUUUAUGAUUGUUUAUGGUAGACAAAAUAAUGAGGCCGCAGAUUAUAUAUAAACCUACUUCUACUAAUGAAAUUAUAGGUGUUCAUACCCAGCUCAUGGUGAACACGGCAAUGAAUUAGCUAUGGAUGUGAUAUUUUUUCAUUAAUCUAAAUCACCAUAAACGUCACGUAAUUCUCUCCUCCCCAUUUCUACAUUUUUGGCCAGUAUAAAUUAAUUCAAAUCCAAAAAAUCCAACUCAUUUGUCCGUGUUUUUUAAUUCUCUAUAUCUUAUUACCGUAAUUAAUAACAAUAUUCGUAAUUUUGUUAAGCUUGUUCGAAAAAUUAUAUGUUAAGUAUUUUAUGUUAACAAGAGAAAUUUGAAUAUUUUAUUUAGAUAUUCGUAAUUUUUUUACGCUUGUUCAAAAUAUUUUAUGCUAAAUAUUUUAUGUCAGGAAGAACAUUUCGAAUAUUUUAUUUGGAUAUUCGUAAUAUUUCUUUUCUUGUUCGAAUUAUUUUUAUGUUAGAUAUUUUAUGUCAACAAGAAAAAUUCGAAUUUUUUACUUAGAUGUUCGUAAUUUUUUUAUGCUUGUUCGAAAAUUUUAUAUUAUAUAGUUUUACAAUUCUGAAUCAAAUAUCAAUAAUCAGACUUUUCACUAUAAUAUUCAUAACUUUAUACGGUUUAUGCAAAAGUAAUUGAAUGCCUAUUUUCUUGAAAUAUAGUCAAUUAUGAUGGCAAUGAAAAAACAACAAUUACAUAGAGCAAGCUGGAAAUUUUGAGCACCAACUUUCGUCCCUAGCUACUUUCCCCUAAGCAUGCUAAAGACUCAAAUGAAUCUCCCAGUACACAGAUGACAAAGGAACUCAAACCACUAAGUCCAGCAACAAACUUGAAUUUAUGUAUGAAUCCUAAACUAAUCAGCAGCCCACGUCCAAGCAAAACUCAGUAGAAAGAACUCAUCACCACUAAGUCCAGCAACAAACUUGAAUUUAUUCAAAAUUAUAGUAUGAUCUAACUUCUAAGCACCGAGUCAGUUCUCCAAAAAUGCUAUAUUCAAACAAUAUAAAGUCGAGUUCAUCCAAAAGGUAAAUCGAUGAUAUUGAAAUGAGACAUGCCCUGCUAUAUUAAUCCAAAUAAACCGAUAAGUACAAUAUCUAAAUCAAUGUACGAAUUGCAUAUACAACAAAUUAUGAAUCAACAACCCUUCACGAUAGAUGAAUAUAUAUACACCAUUAUUUACAUCAAUUACCAAGCUAACGGAAAACUAAACCACCUAAACUUAUGUAAUGCAAUGCUGAUACAUCUAAAUCAUCUAGCAGACCGGAGUCAAUCGCAACAAACUUCACCACCUUCUUCAACAUUUAGUUGAAGAAUAUCUUUUCUAAAAAAUGAAUUGACAUUCGAAUUGAUUGUUUUUCGUGGAUUAAUUUAUUGGUAUAUUAUAUUUAAGUUUUAGUCACAUUUGGAAUAAUCUCAAUUAAGUGGGUAUAAGGAUUCAUAUUCUGGAUGCCAUCAUUUUGUUAAAUUAAAUUUUUUGGGUGAAAAAAAGAUGGAUUAUGAGGCAUAAUGAGUUCUUGUUGGUCAUUGAGUUUAUAUAUAUAUAAAAGGUUGGUAUGAGGAGGUUAAGAGGGAUUUCAGACGUUUGAAAACAGACUAAUGGACACUCGAAGUGCUAAUGUGUUUUAAUUUGGGUGGGAAAAUAGAAGGCCGUGAGUUAUAUAAUAGUUCCGAUAAUCAAAUGGAUAUUUAGGAUUUAUAAUUAAAUGGAUAUGUUGGAUUUAUCUAAUAGUUUUAUACGAUUAUUUAAUAGUACAAACUUUAUCUAAUAGUUUUAUAUGAUUAUUUAAUAGUACAGAAUUUAUCUAUAAAUUUAUAUGAUUAUUUAAUAGUUUUUAAAUGUAAAAAUUGAUUAGAAAUGUAUAAAUAAAUAAGAAUGAAUGAGAAUUGAGGAAAAUUAGAAUGGAGUGAUUAUACGAUGCCACGUAGGAUAAGAUUUAUUUUGUUAUAAUGUAAAAAUUUAUUAUAAAUGUAUAAAUAAAUAAGAAUGAAUGAGAAGACUUUAUCUAAUAGUUUUAUAUGAUUAUUUAAUAGUACAGAAUUUAUCUAUAAAUUUAUAUGAUUAUUUAAUAGUUUUUAAAUGUAAAAAUUGAUUAGAAAUGUAUAAAUAAAUAUAAAUGUAUAAAUAAAUUGAUUAUUUAAAUUUUUGUACAAGAAUUAAGAAGAAUUAAUUAACAUCAAAUUUUAAAAACUCAUUCUCUUUUCUCACCAGCUAAACUUAAUGUACUCCAUAUCCCAAUAAAUUUAAAUGAAAGAUUGAUAAUUCUUCCUUUUAAAAAAAGUAUUUUAAAAGUAGAAGUGAUAAAUAAAUUUAAUUAAUAUCUUAAUGAGGGAGUUGGAAAGUGAAAAAUUUAAUGAGAAGAGAGAGAUAAUUAAUCUUGAUUGAAGAGAAAAUCUUAUAUUGAGAAACAAAAUAAAAAACUUAAAACAUCAUAUUUUGAGAGUUGAAGAAAGAAUUAUUGCCUCGAUCCAUUGAAAAAUAGAGAAACAAAUAAUAGAAGUUUUAUGUAGAGAGGAUAAAUUUUUUUUUUUUUGAUCGGAUAAAGUUAUGUUAGAUGUUAACAAUUAAUUCCCCAAACACUCCAAGAAUUCACCAAGCCCACCUUAUCUCUCCAAUCACCAAAUUCGCUCCCAAAGGGGAUCGAACCCGGGUCUCAUCACUAAGUGAGGACCCGGUGGCCAGGUGAGAUGUAGAGAGGAUAAAUGAGAGAAUUUGAAGGUGUAUUGAAAGAUAGCAACAUUGGUAUCUAUUUAUAGAGAAUGAAAAAAUAUAUAUUUUGAUAUUUUUAAUUAUUUUUUUUAAUAUUUAUAUUAAAAAUAUACUAAUUUUUAUUAAUUAUCCUAACAAAAUAUACUCAACCCAUCAAAUAUUGACAAAUCGUUGCACCAUUGAUCCAAAUAGGGGUGUAAAUGAGCCGAGUCGAGUCGAGUAUUGCUAUGCUCAAACUCGAACUUGGCUAUUUUCACGAAGCUCGACUCGGCCAAGCUUGAAUUUUUUGAGCUCGGGCUCGACUCGAUGUCAUAAUCGUGAGCUCGAGCUCGACUCGGUUAAGCUCGAUUGUGGAUUCUUACUCGAGUUUGAGCUCGAGCUCGAGCUAGUUUAAGCUCGUUGAGCUCGAACUCGUUUAAACUCGGUUAGCUCGAGCUCGUUUAAGCUCGCCUCAUACAUUCUUUAACAAAUUGAAUAACAUUACAAAUCAACGCAAAUUCCUGUCCUAAAGAUAAUAUCUUACAACUUCUAACACAGUUGUAAGUUAUAAUGAAACAAAUCGACAGAAAUUAUCAUGAAACAAUAUCAGAAAUUAUCAGUUGUAAGUUUACAAAAUAUGAGGCGGAUGUCAAAUAAUACAAUGCAAAUUCAAGAUAUAUUGUCACGAAAUAUCAUGAAACAAAUAGAUAGAAAAAAGACUAAAUGAGUAGCUGACCUCAUUCAAAGUUCAAACUAUAGGCAAUUUCCAAGAAAUUACAGUUAUGAAAAAUUCUUUACUGGAAAUUACCAGUCGCGCCGGGGAAGGAGAGCAGUUGCGCCGAGCUGGGAAAAGGAGACAGUCGCGCCGGCCGCCGGGGAAGGAGAGCAGUCGCGCCGAGUUGGGAAAAGGGUUUGUGUAAUUGCUAAUUGUGUUACACAUAUAUUUGGGCUUGUGAAUUGUGAUUUGGGCCUUCUUGUGGGCUGAAUUAUAGUAUUUAUUUUGGGCCUACCAUUGAUCCAAACUAGAUGAGAGAGAGUGAGCACUCCCCAAUUUUCCUACCGACAAAGAUGGCAGCCAUAUUUACUGAACACCACUUUCCUUUCCUUUCCUUUCCUUUCCUUUUGUUUUGCUUAUUUUUCGAGUGAGCAGAGAUCUGAAAAAUGGCUUACAAUCUUCAAUCACUCAUCACCAUCCUCCAAGGGAUUCUGGAUCCCCAACAAACACGCUGGAUUCUUGGACAAGAGAAACCACAACUCCAAUCCCUCCUCCAAAAAGCUUCUUACCUGCAGCAGAAGAUUCUCGAAAAAACUCCACCACUCACCAAAAUACCAAGCUUGCAGUGCCAAAUCAGAGACGUAGCAAAUGAAGCAGAAGACAUCGUUGAAUCUCACAUGGUUGAACGAAUGCUCUCGAUGCCUGAAGGCGUGAACUUCACUCCGCUGGCACCAGAUGUGCUGCUAGUGACGCAAAAACUUGAUUCUGUGAUCGAACAAGUCGUGAAGCUCGUG
This 9139-nucleotide long non-coding RNA is filed under the name Salvia miltiorrhiza (redroot sage). RNAcentral's name for it is "long non-coding RNA (SMIL_LNC005384)". Lineage: Eukaryota; Viridiplantae; Streptophyta; Magnoliopsida; Lamiales; Lamiaceae. The record is from RNAcentral.